This is a long non-coding RNA of Ruditapes philippinarum (Manila clam), 697 nucleotides long. RefSeq lists it as uncharacterized. Lineage: Eukaryota; Metazoa; Mollusca; Bivalvia; Venerida; Veneridae. The transcript has 4 exons. The record is from RefSeq and is a predicted model, not a curated record.
UUGUUGAUGUUAAGCCAUGUUUGAACGGCGGCGUGUGUACAAAUGGGAAUAGUAACUACGUAUGUACAUGUGCCCGCUGGAUUUUAUGGAAAGAACUGUGAACAAACUUUCGUUAAUCUUGCCCUUGGAAAACCAGCCAGUCAGACAACUGUUUAUUCUUUAAAUAAUCAAUGAGUGCUAACAAAGGGAAUGAUGGUAAUGCUGAUAGUACAAUAUCUCACAACAGUUGUUUCCAUACUAAUAACAACACAAGUCCCUGGUGGGAAGUAGAUCUUCAGGAUGAAUAUGCCAUAAGUCAAGUUAACAUCACAAACAGUGACACUGGCUCUAAAAGAGCACAAAACGUUGAAAUCUCCGUAGCAAGGGAAAAUCCUGGUAAUUGGAAUAUGGUGGCGUAUAAGGAAGGCGAAUUGGGUCUUUUCAUGUCUUUCAAGUUUGAUCCAGUAAAAGCUCGUUAUGUCAGGAUAACUUUACGGAACAUACAAACAAUAUUUCAUCUGUGUGAAGUGGAGGUUUAUGGAUACAAAUAAUUGAAAUACAAAAAUGACAAAAACGAACGACAGCAAGAAAGGGAGAAGAAAAAAAGAAUGAGAAGAAAACAAAUAUAAAAUGAUAAUUUUCUUGCAAGUCUUAUUUUAAUCGGAUGCUACCUUUUAAUUUAACAAUUAAUUUUAAUUGAAAAUAAAAGUGAAAAGAA